UCUGAGAAAAUAUAGAAGGUCCAGCCUGCCCAGUGACAAAGUUAAACGGCCGCGGUACCCUAACCGUGCGAAGGUAGCGCAAUCACUUGUUCUUUAAAUGAGGACUAGUAUGAACGGCAUCACGAGGAUUAUACUGUCUCCCCCCUUUAAUCAGUGAAACUGAUCCCCCCGUGAAGAAGCGGGGAUAAACCUAUAAGACGAGAAGACCCUAUGGAGCUUUAAACUAACACCACCUGUCUAUAAACACUUCAUAACAAACAGACAAACCUACGUGCUAGUUUUUGGUUGGGGUGACCGCGGAGCAAAAUAAAACCUCCACGAUGAAAAGACUUUCCCUCUUAAUCCAAGAGCAACAUCUCAAAGAAUUGGUAAACCAACACAACUGAUCCAAAUAAUACUUUGAUCAACGAAC
Molecule: ribosomal RNA, 412 nt
Filed under: Chiasmocleis hudsoni group sp. ABGD cluster 19
Lineage: Eukaryota; Metazoa; Chordata; Amphibia; Anura; Microhylidae
Description: partial large subunit ribosomal RNA
Rfam family: Bacterial large subunit ribosomal RNA
Source: RNAcentral